UACGUAGGGUGCGAGCGUUGUCCGGAAUUACUGGCGUAAAGAGCUCGUAGGUGGUUUGUCGCGUUGUUCGUGAAAACCGGGGGCUUAACCCUCGGCGUGCGGGCGAUACGGGCAGACUGGAGUACUGCAGGGGAGACUGGAAUUCCUGGUGUAGCGGUGGAAUGCGCAGAUAUCAGGAGGAACACCGGUGGCGAAGGCGGGUCUCUGGGCAGUAACUGACGCUGAGGAGCGAAAGCGUGGGGAGCGAACAGG
RNAcentral lists this ribosomal RNA (252 nucleotides) under uncultured bacterium. RNAcentral describes it as "partial 16S ribosomal RNA". It matches the Rfam family "Bacterial small subunit ribosomal RNA", at positions 524 to 776 of the family's 1533-position model. The record is from RNAcentral.